AGAAAAAAAAAACGUGGGAUGACGUCAGUAGGUGAUGAUCUCCGUAGACACUCCACCUGGCUGCGGGCUGAACGCACCGCGCGGCGAGAGAGCGCAGCUGAUGCAGCUGAUGGGUGACAAAAACAAAAGCCCAGCCAGCGAACCCCGGUGUGCCAAAGCCAUGUUCUGCACAGUUACCGUGUCCGGACGAAGGGCGGCGCUCGCGACCCCCUCACGGCUGAAUCAAAAGCCUCCAGCCUGCGUCCGUAAUUGAAUUGCAGGAGUAACAUGAGAGGCUUGCUGGCAUAGUAAUGAAUCAACAGCCGGUGGCGAUUUAAUAAAACCUCAUCUACGUUACUGGCUGGAUUCUGUGGAUUUAGGUCUGGAGGCUGAGACGACGUUGGAAGGACGUAGAUUUGUUUUGCUUGAACCACUUCUGCUCUGAUGUGACUCGUUUUUAGCUAGAUGUCGCCAGAAUUUCUGUUUUUAAAGUCGUCGUAUUUAAAUGAUUUCCAGCAAAUUCACCAAACAGAUUUCCAGGGUCUCUGGAAAGGAAACAGGCCCGCAGCAUCACAGAUCCUCAACCGUAUUUUACAGCAGCAGAAACUAGGUACUUUCCCCACAUUAUUCAUCCUCUAUUUCAGAGUCAACCCACGGGGAAUGUCACAUCUAACCACAUUGUUUCCAGUAAAAAUCCCAGCAUAGGAAAAAAAAUGCCACGUUUAUGUUUGUAAUGAGAGGAGAAAACAACCAGGUGGCAUGAAAACAGUAGCAUCUAAUGGUCGUCAUGGAGACUUAGUUACUCCAGAAGCCCACGUGUUGCUGUGAUUUUAUUUAUUUAUUUACUAUCCUGUUGAUGGUGCAUUACACCAACAGACACAUGGAUCCUUUUCUGAGUCACAUCAUAUGUCUUCCCCUGGGAAACAGGAACUUGUGAUUUACAAAUUAAAGGUUCCUCAAAGGUCAACUUAAAAAAGCAUUGUAUAAGUGAAAAAUGAUAAUUUAAAUACAAUUAAAAAUGUGUAUAUUUUAGGAGUAACAAUAAUAGAUGCAAUUAAUUGUAAUUUAAAAAACAAUUGAUUAGUUAAAGGAAAAGUUUAGGAAAAAAUGAGGGAUAGAUUUUUCUCAUUUUUUUGAGAGUGAGAUUGUGCUGCGUCAUUGCCAGAGGUGCCAACAUAUUUGUCUGGAUCUUUAAAUGCAUAAAAUCCAUGUUUUGCUUAUGAAGACAUAUUUGAAAUGCAAAAUUAAUAAAAUAACGAUUUUAGAAUCUUUAUUUACAAUUGAAACAGAGCAUCGUUAAUUUGUGUGUGUGUGUGUGUGGGGG
This is a long non-coding RNA of Xiphophorus hellerii (green swordtail), 1303 nucleotides long. RefSeq lists it as uncharacterized. The transcript has 3 exons. The record is from RefSeq and is a predicted model, not a curated record. NCBI's taxonomy places the organism in Eukaryota, Metazoa, Chordata, Actinopteri, Cyprinodontiformes, Poeciliidae.